UAGUUCAUCUCUUCCUCCUCCCCUUUUCGUCGCCAUGGCCGUCAGCUGAAGCUAGAUGUUCCUUGUUCUCUAGUUCGCCUCCUACCCUUUUUUUGGCGGGGAGUUCGUCUCUUAUCCUGUUCGUCGCCACGGCCGCCACAGCUCCCUAGUUCCUCUCAAGCCCCGAUCAAUCAUUCUUGACCUAGAAGCGCCCUGAAAAAGGACCUCUCCAUGGCUCAACGGAGCAGCGCAAUCUCAUCUUGGAGUUCCUGUUCGAUGUACACCCAGAUGUACGUGGACUAGAGGAAGGGGAGCUGCCAUCGACCCCCUCCCGGUCUCAAUCAGAAAACAUUUUUAUGAGAGGGCUCUGUAGAAAACAUUACUUCUCAGGGGAGACAAGUACUAGGUGUUCCCCAUUGAUUUUGGCUACAAACUGCAAAGGCAUCUAGGCAAGGAAUCCAGGCUAGUGACCAUCAAGGACGCAACGACGCGUUGGAGGGGGGCGAGAAGGUUUAACAGUUUCACCAAGUCAUUCCUCGUACAUCGUACAUGAUCCAAAUAGACCAAAACUGAAGCCUGCUCAGAGGAUCAAUUAGUUCCAGGAAAAGUAUACGCAGAAUCGUACCAGGGGCCCAAAUGGUGUACAUUAUACUCUUGGUAGGCAUGUGCUGAUGCUCUGAGAAGAUAGAAUUCAGUUUAGUUCAGAUUGAGAAUUAGUAUGUGUAAAAAAAUCAUCUUCCCUUGCUGGUCUUGUUGUCCCAGUUUAGUUGAGAAGAGAUAAGAAUUCAGAGAAAGCAUUUUGUUUAGGGAAUGUACUUCUGAGUCUACAAACUGCUGCAUAUGCACAAAUAUAUGUAAUCUAAAUGCAAUAUUUUCUUGUGACAUGAAUGAA
Non-coding RNA from Aegilops tauschii subsp. strangulata, 871 nucleotides. The record is from RefSeq and is a predicted model, not a curated record. Lineage: Eukaryota; Viridiplantae; Streptophyta; Magnoliopsida; Poales; Poaceae.